Molecule: ribosomal RNA, 253 nt
Filed under: uncultured prokaryote
Description: partial 16S ribosomal RNA
Rfam family: Bacterial small subunit ribosomal RNA
Source: RNAcentral
ACGGAGGGAGCUAGCGUUGUUCGGAAUUACUGGGCGUAAAGCGCACGUAGGCGGCUUUGUAAGUUAGAGGUGAAAGCCCGGGGCUCAACCCCGGAACUGCCUUUAAAACUGCAUCGCUUGAAUCCGGGAGAGGUGAGUGGAAUUCCGAGUGUAGAGGUGAAAUUCGUAGAUAUUGGGAAGAACACCAGUGGCGAAGGCGGCUAACUGGUCCAGAUCUGACGCUGAGGUGCGAAAGCGUGGGGAGCAAACAGGA